AGUUUGAUCCUGGCUCAGGAUGAACGCUAGCUACAGGCUUAACACAUGCAAGUCGAGGGGCAUCAGGGUGUAGCAAUACACCGCUGGCGACCGGCGCACGGGUGAGUAACACGUAUCCAACCUGCCCUUUACUCGGGGAUAGCCUUUCGAAAGAAAGAUUAAUACCCGAUGGCAUAACAUGACCUCCUGGUUUUGUUAUUAAAGAAUUUCGGUAGAGGAUGGGGAUGCGUUCCAUUAGGCAGUUGGCGGGGUAACGGCCCACCAAACCUUCGAUGGAUAGGGGUUCUGAGAGGAAGGUCCCCCACAUUGGAACUGAGACACGGUCCAAACUCCUACGGGAGGCAGCAGUGAGGAAUAUUGGUCAAUGGGCGAGAGCCUGAACCAGCCAAGUAGCGUGAAGGAUGACCGCCCUAUGGGUUGUAAACUUCUUUUAUAUGGGAAUAAAGGGUGCCACGUGUGGCAUUUUGUAUGUACCAUAUGAAUAAGGAUCGGCUAACUCCGUGCCAGCAGCCGCGGUAAUACGGAGGAUCCGAGCGUUAUCCGGAUUUAUUGGGUUUAAAGGGAGCGUAGGUGGACAUGUAAGUCAGUUGUGAAAGUUUGCGGCUCAACCGUAAAAUUGCAGUUGAAACUGCGUGUCUUGAGUACAGUAGAGGUGGGCGGAAUUCGUGGUGUAGCGGUGAAAUGCUUAGAUAUCACGAAGAACUCCGAUUGCGAAGGCAGCUCACUGGACUGCAACUGACACUGAUGCUCGAAAGUGUGGGUAUCAAACAGGAUUAGAUACCCUGGUAGUCCACACAGUAAACGAUGAAUACUCGCUGUUUGCGAUAUACAGUAAGCGGCCAAGCGAAAGCAUUAAGUAUUCCACCUGGGGAGUACGCCGGCAACGGUGAAACUCAAAGGAAUUGACGGGGGCCCGCACAAGCGGAGGAACAUGUGGUUUAAUUCGAUGAUACGCGAGGAACCUUACCCGGGCUUAAAUUGCAAAUGAAUAUGCCGGAAACGGCAUAGCCGCAAGGCAUUUGUGAAGGUGCUGCAUGGUUGUCGUCAGCUCGUGCCGUGAGGUGUCGGCUUAAGUGCCAUAACGAGCGCAACCCUUAUCUUCAGUUACUAACAGGUCAUGCUGAGGACUCUGGAGAGACUGCCGUCGUAAGAUGUGAGGAAGGUGG
RNAcentral lists this ribosomal RNA (1166 nucleotides) under uncultured Bacteroides sp. RNAcentral describes it as "bacterial SSU rRNA". It matches the Rfam family "Bacterial small subunit ribosomal RNA", at positions 10 to 1176 of the family's 1533-position model. The record is from RNAcentral. Lineage: Bacteria; Pseudomonadati; Bacteroidota; Bacteroidia; Bacteroidales; Bacteroidaceae.